This 13355-nucleotide long non-coding RNA is filed under the name Zea mays. Its description in RNAcentral is "long non-coding RNA (ZMAY_LNC002659)". The record is from RNAcentral. Lineage: Eukaryota; Viridiplantae; Streptophyta; Magnoliopsida; Poales; Poaceae.
UCAGGCUGCCCAAGCACCUCAGGCGCCGGCGGCGACAACAACCUGGCGCCAUUGGACCUCCAGACCCCUACCGUCUUCGAGAACAACUACUACAGGAACCUCCUCGCCAAGAAGGGGCUCCUGCACUCCGACCAGGAGCUCUUCAAUGGCGGAGCCACCGACGCGCUGGUCCAGUCCUACGUCGGGAGCCAGAGCGCGUUCUUCGCGGAUUUCGUGGCGGGCAUGAUCAAGAUGGGCGACAUCACACCGCUGACCGGCUCCAACAACGGACAGAUAAGGAAGAACUGCAGAAGAGUCAAUUAGCAGAUAGCUAGCUAGGGUCACUAAUUAAGACCCAUGCAUGGCUGUUGAACUGCAAGCUAAGUAAACACUAUGUGAGAUCGUCGCGUUGAUGUGCUCACAUGUCGUCUUUUUAUUUGGGUGAAGGAUGGAUGCAUGUAUCAGAUCACUUGUUGUUUAAUUAAUGCCAUUUCAGUCUUUGUCCAAUAUACUUUAAUCUGCAUGAGAAAAAAGGAGAAUAAGUACUAGCCAGCGUGUGAAGUGUAUAUAUGCGCAGCGCAACAAGUAGAAUAUGAAGAGUUUCAAACAUCCAAACUCAUAUAAUAAACGCAUAUCUUUACGAAAAGUUUCAAACAUCCAAACGCGCGCUACUACACACAUACUGAAAAAUAACUCAGAGCUGUCAAAGUUAGACAUGUGAUAAUCGGCUUCAAAUGCAAAAAAAAUUUAAAUAAAGCGUCACUUGGAGAGGAAGCUUAGCCAUAUAGCAUCUUAUAAAGCUAGAGUUGUCACUUGAAUAAUAUAAUGCUAGAGCCUACGACUAGACAGCUUUAGUUGUGCCUAACCAUAGCAUCCGAUCUCUGUAGUUCGUUGACAAGAAUGAUUGGAUCUCUCACCAUUUUGUUCUGCUUACUCUAGCGGUUCAGCAUAUGUUUAUUGCUUAGUAUUCCAACGUGUUGUUGAUUCGUCCUGCUGGUGUAGCUAGCUAGGAUCGAGUGCAGAGCAAGUUUUCCACCCGAGGGGUACAUGUAUGCUUGGAACAACAUAUGAUUGGAAAAGUUCGCGUCGACGCACUGGGUCCGGUUCGUUGGACUUAUUCUGCUGCCAUUGUCGGUUUCAAACUGCAAAUACUAUGCCUUUAUUUACUCAAAUAAUUCCUAAUUAAUUUACAGAUAUAAUGUAGCAAUUAUCAUCUUCUGUUGUUGAUUUAUCCUCAUGUGAUAGCAAUUGCCCUCCAAACCGAUCGAGCUGCUUCUAGAAAUUUUUUUGUGAAGCUAGGUGGUUUUCACUGUUUAGCUAUAUAUAUAUAAAUGCUCCUGUAUUUAGAUGUUGUUUAGAAUGGCUCCAAGUUCUAGCUCUAGUGCAGAUAUGUAGUUUGUAAUAUCAAUUUAAUUAGUUUUAAAAAUAUUUUUCAUCUAAAUAAUAAUUAAAAUGAUUUUUCUAAAUAUUUUCUAAAGGCUUAUAGCUCUAGUUUCACGAUUUUCUGGAGCACUUAAUGACCUACUCCACAAAAUUUUCUGGAGCUGAAACUAUACCAAACAUGACUUUGGAGGCGGCUCUAUUUUCAAACCGUCUUUAGAAACCGAUUUGUAAAGUUGCAUCUAAAAUUAGAAGUUGUACAAAAUUUGAGAUUUUCAAACGAUGUCCAACAAAAAACGAUCAAACCCGAAGUUCUUAUAUUUAAAAUUAAAUUUGAAUUUCUUAUAAUUUAAAUUUUACCUUUUAAACAAUCUAUGUGGAGAAAUGACCAAAACAAAAGUCGUAGAUCUUAAAAAAAUAGAUAACUUUAUAACUAGAAACUUUUUUUAUUUAAAAUCAUAUAUGCACAAAAAUAUAUAUUUAAAUUUUAUCACAUUUGAAAUUCAAAAUUUUCAAAUGACCUCAGUUAGAGAAAUGAUGGAAACAAAAUCUCAUAAAGCUAUGCCAUUUUGUACUAGCUCAUAACUUUUUUAUUUGAAAUUAUCAAUGCAUGUAAAAUCACGUUUUCAUCGAAUUUCUCAUGCUUGAAAUUUAAUAUUUUUAAAUGACUUCGGGUGAAGAAACGAUAAAACCAAAAGUUGUAUAUCUCGAGAAGUUAUACAUUUUGUAGUUGUAAACUUUUUUUUAUUGAUAUUCAUUUAGGCCGUAAAAACUUAUUUUAAAGCCAAACAAAGAUAAAUAAAUGAGAAGUACAAAUAUCCUAUUUAUUUGAACACAAGUAGUAGGUAAGUUUUCACUGCUGAUAGUUUGCAACAACUAUAGACCACUAGAAAGUGUGACUUGUAUAGAUUGCUAGCAAAUAGUAUACCUUGUAGGUCUGAGGCAUGCAUGUAUAAUGUAUUGGUCUCCAAUCCACCGAACACCCAACAAUUGCGGUGGAGUAAAGUCGUCACUUCCGGCACUUAGCAUUGAAUUCAUUUGACUGUAACACUAUAUAACUAACUACUUUCAGUCAUUAUCAGUCAUAACCUACUGUCCGCUCUUUGUUGUAUCUGGAAAAACGCGCCUCCGAACCUGCAAAAGUUUUCUUUACAAAAAUCUUCGUUAUUAGUUUGUUUAUUUGUUAAAGCUAGGGAGAGCGAGGUGUUCGUUCAGAAGAUAAAAAAAACUCUCUUUUUUAAUGGGAGGGGUGCCAAAUUCAAGCAGCUAGCUGUAUCUGUACGGGCGCGCAAAAACCACACACGACGACCGCCGCCGCCAGUCCAAUUUGCCAGCAGUGUGGCAAUAAGCUAGGUGAUAUAGCAUUUGCAUGCAAUGAGCUAGUGUCUUCGUCAACGAAAAACAGCCUCUUGGACAAGAUACUGGAGUACUUUUUAGUCACAUAUUACUUGAAUUUUCCACACAUGUGAACACCAUCUAGAACUGGAAUCAUAAAGUCUGUUCAAACUUGAUUUAAUCCGUACCGGUUUCUACUGUUUUUACAGUGUUUUAUCUCUCUAUAGAUUACAGCUACAGCAGUCCGAACAACUGGCCUUAAUCCGAAGCGAACAUUCUAUAAUGCACAAGUGAGAAGUGGAUAGACGGCGGCUCUAAUUACCCUACUGAAUUAUAGGGUCAAACGACAUAUGCAAUAUAUGCAGCAGUCUUAAUACUAGCUAGCUAGCUAUGCAUGUGAGAUGGGAUGUUUGUUUUUCUUCUUCCCUGUGGCGUUAUAUGUUGACACUUAUGGUUUGUUGAUUCUUCUCUGCUGCUACAAGGCAACAAUGAACGGAGUCAUAUGAUUGGGCCGGGUGACGAAAAGGCCUUGGGUUCGGUAUCUCUCCAAUCUGAUGCGAAAUUCUCUCAAGUGCAGUGCUAGCGUUUGCUGUUUUCUCCUGUCCGAGAUCCACCGUAUCUUAAUUAAUGAAGGUGCUCAUGCUCUCUCUUGUCAAAGAAAUUAAUAAACAGCUCAUUCGUAGGCUUGUCUUGUGUUUUCUCCCAGCAUGCAUGUAUAUAUACUUAGCUAGCUUGUUCGGUGGCGACCCACUGCACCUACUUUAAUUUCUUUAGAAUGCUAGCUCUUAGAACGAAGUGCCUAAAUCGAAUGUCUACUGCAAAUCAAGUUCAUAUGUAGGUCGUCAUCAUCCCAUGCAUAUACAUUGGCUCGAACUUGCUAAGUCAUCAUCCCAUGCAUAUAUAUCGACUGCCCAUUGCUUUUUAGCUGGCAAGCAACCUGUUUUUCAUUUGACAAAAGCGAACACAAGUAACUAGCCACACCAAACCCACUCAGCCUAGAUUAGAAUCUGCAUGCCUACGGAUCGAGCAGCUGCAGCUCCAUCGUCCAUCUUCUUUCUCUUUGACGACGCAACUAGCUAUAGCAGCUAGCCGACAGUGUAAUGCAUGCAUUAUAUUAUUGGUCAAUAACGACAGGAGAAGUAGAAGAGUAAAUUGGUCACCUGAUGCCUACCCACGAACUAAUUGGUGAUCAACACCAAAUCUCUCUCACCACAUCAGCGACAUUCCAUCUGUCUAGCUAGCAAUAUAAUUUCCCCUGAUGAGAAAAUGGAAACUAAAGCAUGUCCACUCCCAAGCCUUUCAGUACCUAUAGAAUAAGAGAGAAUGUGCAUUCAACUUUUCCUUUUUAUUUUGGUCUAGCUAGGUUGGCAUCAUCCAACACACACAUUGAAAAAAUGUCGCAUAUCCCUUUCGAGUUUCAACAAUUCUAGUACUAUACCAUCAGUGCACGCAAACAUGUAGCUACCAUUCUGGUUCCCAAAAGCAACUUUGAGUCAAACUGAGCUGCCUCCUUUUCCGGCACAAACAUAUAACACAUUAACAGCUCUCGAAUUUAUGAGAUGCCUUCUUUGUUUGUUAACGCUGUUGUUCCUAGGAAGAAGAUGAUGGUAUUUAUGAAAAUGACACAGAAUAUCUGGUAUCCCUCCUCGACUUCUCGAUCACUGAUCGAGUUCUCCAACACAUCCGCUUGACUUGGUUAAUUAACCACCGUCUUAACUCGGCCAACACGGUCUAUUUCUUGAUGUAUUUUUGCACUUGUCGAUGUCCUUAGAUGUCACCCACCACGGUUAUUCCUUCGGCCUCACUAAUCCCUGACAAUCCAUUGGCACGGACCCGUUUGACCUUCAUCUUCACUGUGGACCACCGCUUCUACACUCCACACACCCAUGCACCACAAGCCAAGAGAUAUAAAAUGUUAGGUAUCCAUCCACAACGUGUGCCACUGCUGGUACUCGACUGCUCGACCACUAAGUCCUCAGGCGGAUCCGUUUGACUUAGUUAACCACCAUGUUUUAACUAGGUUAGUUACUUCUUUGUAUACUCACUAUACCACAACCUAGCAAUAACGACUUACUUACAGUCGGUAUAAACCGUUAUAGCAACAUACUAUCAGUCGCUAUAGAGUUAUACCGACUAACACUUUCUGACGCUGUAAGUGGCGUCGGCAUAAACCUAUAGCGACAGACAUGUUUAUACCGACGAACGGUUAGACGUUAAAAAGAUAUACCGACUAACAUAUUUAUCCCGACGGACAGUCUGUUAGAACUUAUACCGACACACUGUCUGAUGCGAUAUAUGCAUUUUUACCGACUAACAAUCAAACGCUACUAGAACUUAUACCGACACACUGUCUGAUGCGAUAUAUGUAUUUUUACCGACUACCAAUCAAACGCUACGGCUAUAUGAGCCUAAAAAAUAUAUUACUAGCCAUUUCCAAUUAUCAUCAACAUCAGAUAAUAAUUGCACUGCAUUCAUACAUAGCAAUUGUACUGCAUUCAUACAUAGCUCAUGUUGACAUAGCUCAUGUUUUCAUUCAUGACAAUAACAAUUGUACUACAUUCAUACAUAAAGUUCACAAGUUUGCUUUUGUUGUAAUAAAGAUCAAAAUAAGCAGCAACAACACUAAGUUUGGCUUGUGAAAGCUCAGAGAUACUAGCUAAUACAACCACAUGUUGGUUUCACAAUUUUUAAGUUCACUUGCAAAUUUCUCUUUUGGAGAAAAUACAAAACAAAAUAUGUAGCUGCAUCCAUCCAAAAGAACUUUUGAUCUUUCUUCUUGUAGCAUCCAUAGGCACCACCGCAAUCUGCGUGCUAUUGUCAUCAUGGAGUAAACAAGUGACUUACUACCUCUAGGACCUCCCUCCUGACAAAAUUAAAACCCAAAUCAUUAGUAGACUACUUAGAAAUCCAUUCCAAAAUAAACUAUAGAAUAGAUACCACCAUUGCUCCAUGAUUAAGCUAAAUAUACAAUAGUUGAACGCAACAGAACUGCAUGAUCACAACACCUUGCUGCUGCUUAUUGAGCUGCAUGAAUUUUAGAGAGCAGCUACUCUAAUUCCUGCAGAAACUUAAGCAAAAAUAAUGUAGCUGGACACAUUCCUGCUGAAUUUGGGAACUUAAGGAGCAUCAUGGAGAUGUAAACACCUUCUAACUAGUACCAGCCACAUACCUACUAAAAUCAAGAAUAUCUACUGAAAUCAGCCACAUAGCCAGAAGCAGUCAUAACCAAGAAUAUCUACUGAAAUUAGUGGUAGAUACCACAAAAUAGAAUUGUGGUACAAUGUCAAUCAUAUAUAUACCUGUAGCACUCUGGGAUGAUUUUGAUGUCUUGCUCACCUUUAGCUAUAUAAUCAUAGAAACCAUUAGUUAGAAAAUAUGCAAUCACCAUAUAUGAAAAAACAACAAAGAGAUAGCUUAUUACUCUCUUGUACGGCCAUGCGAUCGACAUUCGAUCAGCAUCACCCAUCUCCUCCAAAUAACCAUAUGGGCGAGGUAGAAGGGCAUCCCUUUUCAGCACAACAUUCACAACAACCUCACAAUAUUGCUUUCCUAGAGCAACUCCUCCUAGCACUGAGCUUGGAUUAGUUGAAAUAAUUGUUCCCUUAGCCACAGGAUGAUCUCUCAAUAUGGCAUAUAAGAUCACAUCCUUUCCAAUCUCAAGCAAACAAUGAAAUUAUAAGAAUAUAAUAAAUGUACAGAACCACUAGCAAAUGAGAAUUAGAAACUUUGAAGGAUGGAUGAAAAACUUACAAGUUCAGUGUGAAGAGGCAGACUUGCUGGGAUAGCUCUAGUGUUGCCUUGACAGGGCUGCACUACUGGGGUUGUAUUGGUCGUCUUGCUAGAGGGCUGCAUUGUUGGGGUACCAUUGAUAGGGUUGCCUUUAGAUGGAUGUACUGCAGGGGUAACACUAACAUGAUUGCUGCCAAGCAAGUUUUCACCCUCAUCAGAGAUUUCAUCCUCCACAUAAGCUUCAUCUUCAUGAAACUGAGCAAUAUUAUGUGUUUGAUCAAUAUGUUGUCCAGACCUCGUGUCCUAAAAUAAAUAUGAGGGUAAUAAGUAAUAAAUAUUCCGUAGAUUUCAAAAUGACUCUAAGAUGUUCAGCUACUUUACCGGAUGGUGUCGUGUAUUAGAACCAUCAUGCGAGAUGAUUUCCACAUCUCUCAUUUCAUGAGCCAUCCUUUGCUCCUGCAUUUUCUCCUCCAUUUCUGCUAUGCGUUGUUCUAGAGCAGCUUUCUCACGUUCAGCCUUUUUGUGGGCUAGGACUUCCAUUUGGAGUCUUGUGGGUGUGUAACUUCUCAAGCCCGGGGUACCAAUAUCUUGGGGAGUUGGUCCUAGACCCAAAACUCGGACACGUCCUCUUGGCUCUUUCUCUCCACAAACAGCAGCAAAAGCAUCACCUUCUUGAAUUGUUCUUUCCUUCAACUCUGGAUGGGCCUCAACAUAUUCUUUAAGUUUGUGGCACUCAUGACUCUUAAGUCCAAUUAUUUUCCUCUCAUUAACAUGUACAUUAUGUCGUAUAUCAGCUGCAUAACCAUCAGGAAACUUCACCCCUUUUAGUACUUGGCAAAAUAAUUUCCUCUCGGCAGGACUCAUUGAGUAAGGUGUUGGUGGUAAAUAAAGUUGGUCUUCUACUUCAAUAGGGUGAAGAUCACUUCUAAUACCUAGGGCCUGAAGGUCCAACCGAGAAUUCAAGUUAUCCUUUGAUUUCCCAUCUGUGCCCAGGAAUGUAUUAAUUAAGCUUUCACUCACAUUUUUCCCUAUGUGCAUGAUGUCAAAAUUAUGUCUCAGCAAUAAAUCUUUCCAGUAUGGUAGUUGAAACCAAAUAGAUCUCCUUUUGAGAAUGAGUAAUGGUUCCCCUUUCUUGCGUCUCUUGUUUGCCGGUUUCUUUCUAGAUGGAUCCUUGCCAAAAGUUUGAUUAAGAUCUUUAGUGCACUCUAAAAUUUGUUCUCCAGAAAGCGGAGUAGGUGCUGGCCUAAACUCAGUUUUACCAAAUCUAUCAAUGUCAAACCUAAAUGGAUGGUCAUCAAGCAAGAAUCUACGAUGAUCCAUAUAGCAAUUCUUGCUGCCAUUACUAAGUCUAAGUGAACAAGCGUGGUAGUUGCAAUCAGGACAUGCUGCUUCACCAGAUGUGACAGAUCCAGAUGUGUAUCCUAGACCUGGGAAAUCAGUAAUAGUCCAUAAUAGUGCAGCUCGCAACUUGAAGAAUUCACCCUUUGAAGCAUCAUAAGUUCUAGCUCCAUUGACGAACAUAUCUAGCAGAUCAUCAACAAGGGGUUGAAAAUAGACAUCCAUGUCACUACCAGGUCCAUUUCGACCAGGAAUCAACAAAGAAAGGAUGAAAUUUGAUUGCUUCAUGCACAUUGAAGGUGGAAAGUUGUACGGAAUACAAAUACCAGGCCAAACACUAUAGCUAACAUUCAUGGACCUAAAUGGAUUAAAGCCAUCAGUUGCAAAUGCAAGGCGAAUAUUACGGCUAUCUGCAGCAAACUCUGGAUGUUUGUUGUCAAAGUCCUGCCAUAGGGGUGAAUCUACUGGAUGUCUAAGUAAACCAUCUUUUUUUCGACCUUCAGCAUGCCAUCGUGUUAGAUUUGCUAUUUUGGAGGUCAAAAAUAACCUUUGGAGCAUUUUCUUUAUUGGGAAGUAUCGAAGAACCUUCUUUGGAACCUUAUACACAUGUUUCCCAUCUAGACUCUUCUUUAUUGAUUUCCAUCGUGAAACCUUACAUUUUGGACAUGAAUUCAGAUCUAAAUUCUCCUUCCAAUAGAGAAUGCAAUCAUUUUCGCAUGAAUGAAUACUUAUAUACCCAAUUCCUAUGGUUUUCACCAAUUUCUUAGCUUCAUAAAAAUUUUUCGGGAGUGUUGAACCCUCAGGGAGUGCAUCAUUAAGUAAAUCAAAUAGUAAGUUAAAAGAUCUAUCAGUCCAUCCUCCGAGGAGUUUGAUGUGGAGUAAUCUAAUCAGGAAACGUAGCUGCGUAUAUUUCUUGCAGUUUGGAUAUAACUCUUUGCUAUUUUCUGCAACCAACUUUUGAAUAGCAACUAGCUCCUCACAGGGGUCAACAAAAGAGCUUGUAUCCUCAAAAUCUCCUCUAUCAUCUAAACCAGUAGCUAAGUCUCUAAGCAAAUCAGAAAUGUCAUCAUCUUCAUUAGGUUCCUCCAUAACCUCAUUGUAAUCAUAGUUUCCAUGAUUCAUAACAGAGCUAGUCUCCCCAUGCAAGUUCCAUAUCGUGUACCCUUUUAGAAACCCAUCGCAUAUUAAGUGCUCACGUAUUUCACUUGCCUCUUUCCAAAACGAGUUAACACACUUUCUACAAGGGCAUAAAAUCUUGUUCCCUACAGCCGAAUUUCUAAAUGCAAAAGCCAAGAAGCUGUUUACACCUUGUAAAUAUGUCUUGCCGUGCCUACAUGCAUCAUCAUUUUCAUUCUUAGGUCAAAUUCCAUUUAAGCUAUAGAUAUCACAUUUAUAUUUGUGUUAUAAUGGAUUUGUACCUAGCAUCAUCAUUGAUCCAUGUCUUAUCCACCAUGGUUUAGGACUACUUCUUAGAAAUCAGCGACUGCAAUCAAAGUUAUAGAAAAAUAUAUUUCAGGUUAUCAACUCACAACUCCCUCCUUCCCCACUAAUUUACAUUUAAACAUUGUAGCAUAAUCAGUGACUGCAAUCAUAAUUUGAAGUUUUAAACAUUGUAGACAUAAAACUUGCCUGGGAUCGGACGACAGUACCGUAGCCGCGCCGGCGCUUCUCCGCUUGACUCGUUCCAGUGCGGUCGGCCUCGCUCCAGUAGAAGUGGGGCGCCGGCUGGGGACGGAUGUUGGCAGGGCGCGCAGUUAUUGGAGGAGGCUCUAGCAGGGCGCGCGGCUGGGCGGAUGAAGCUAUCAGGGCGCGCGGCAGGGGACGAUGGUUGACGUAGCAGGGCACGCGGCUGGGCCGGGGACGGGACGGCGGACUGCGCUCGCGUGGCUUGGGAGGAGACUGCGCGCGCGGCUGGCUGGGGACGGCGAACUUCACGCGCGGCUGGCUGGGGACGGCGGACUGCGCGCGUGGCUGCGUUGGGGACGGGAGCGCGCGGCCGGCCGGCUGGGGAGGAGCCGACGACGCGCGAAGUUGUUUGGGAGGAGAGUGCGCGCGGCCGGCCGGCUGGGGAGGUGACGGCGGUUGGCUGGGGAGGUGACGGCCGACCUGCUGGGGAGGUGACGGCGCGCGGCGGCUGGUUGUUUUGGCGACGGCUGCCCGGGAAGUAAUAGGGUUUUGGGCUUUAGGCGCCAACAGGCUGGAUAAAUUGCAAUGUUUUUUAUGGCGACUGACAGCGCGAUGCUAUAGGUAUGAAUUGCCGACUGACAACGCGACACUAUUCACAUAUAAAUAUAACGACUAACACUCAGUUGGAAUUUAGACAUAUACCGACUCACCAUCUGUGGCUAUGUAUACCGACUAACAAUUUGAUGCUAAUUCUCUAUUUAUAGCGACGGUCGUCAGACACUAAUUUGGUGUUGUGGUAUAGUGACUUUUGUACGUGUCGCAGUCAGCCACCACAAUUAGUCCUUCGGCUUCAACAGACCCUCAGUCCAAGCCUCGACAUCUGUUCUCGACAUCUGUUCUUUAGUGCUCUCAGUCCAUUGGCACCAAUCCACUUAACCUUCAUCUUCAUCGUCGAUCACCACUUUUGUGCUCUACACACCCGUGCACCACAAGCCAAGAGAUAUGUUGCAUAUAUAACUCAACACCCACGCUAUAGUUAGUCUAGGAAUUCAAUCAAAGACGAUCUAAUAGUUUUUGGCGACUUGAAAAACUCAAGGGUUUUUAGAACUUCAUUAAAAACUCUUCAAGAUGCACAUAUGACUAUUGUUAUAUUUUUUUAUAGUGCAAAAAAUAUAUAAAUUGAGUGUAAAGAUUUAUAAAUAGUCUACAUAUAUAUAGUUUUAAACACAUCGCAACUGAACACAUGCGUUGAGUAAAAAAACAUAUCAUAAAUUUCUAAUUGCUGUAUGCAUUGCAACUCAAAAUGAAAUGAAGCGUUUGCUAAUAAUCCUAUGUAUCCUAGCUACCAUGCUAAAACACACACGAAGUCCUUGUGUCCAGGCAACAUGCAUGUACACACUUCGUGAAGCUCGUCGUUGCAUUAUUGGCAAGGCAAGUGCUUUCACAGCAAUUUAAUUAACUUUGAAGCAAAAUGUCCCUCAUUGCAUCGCAUCUCGCUGGAUGACACUUGACUGUUGGGCAGGCAGCUAGCAUAUAAUCAAUCAACCAGCUUGAUUGGCGGAGGAUCAUCGGUUGCUUUUCAACUCAAAGUCCAACAAAGCAGCUUCAUUCAAUUAGUAGUAAUAUUAUACAUACAAAGUUGCUUAUAUAUGCUAAUUAACUACAAAAACCAUGGCCGCUCGCAUUGGGCUAUAAAUAUCAUCCAUGCUCGCUCACCAGCUAGCCCAUCUCAUUCUACAGGGAAGACGAAAACACACUGCAGCUGGAGCAGCACUGAUAUCGACCAUGGCUCCAGCAGCACCUGCAUCUGCGACAAAAUGCAGCAGCGGCAUCGUCAUCUCUGUGCUCUUGCCCCUCGCGCUGCUAAUGGCGGCCGCCGGCACCUCGUCGGCGCAGCUGUCCACGGGCUUCUACUCUUCCUCGUGUCCCGGCGUGUACGACGCCGUCAAGUCGGUGGUGCAGUCCGCCGUCGCCAGCGAGCAGCGCAUGGGCGCCUCCAUCGUCCGCCUCUUCUUCCACGACUGCUUCGUCCAGGUACGUUAUUACGUGUAUGGUGGUGUGGAUCGAUCGACCAUGUAGGUAUGCACGCAUGUUGUUGUGCUGCUUGAUCUGUGACUGUGAUCCGCGUGCAUGUAAUGUAUGUAUGUAUAUAUAGGGCUGCGACGCGUCGCUGCUGCUGGACGACACGCCUAGCUUCCAGGGAGAGAAGAUGGCCAACCCUAACAACGGCUCCGUGAGGGGAUUCGAGGUCAUCGACGCCGUCAAGUCCGCCGUCGAGAAGGUGUGCCCCGGCGUCGUCUCCUGCGCCGACAUCCUCGCCAUCGCCGCCAGGGACAGCGUCGUCAUCGUGAGUACUGCUGAGGUUCUGUGUCAACAAGAGUGACGGAUGAAUGCUGAUGCUGGUCUAUCCACAUGCAGCUGGGUGGUCCGACCUGGGACGUGAAGGUCGGGCGGCGGGACUCCACGACGGCGAGCUUCAGCGGCGCCAACAACAACAUCCCGCCGCCGACGUCGGGCCUCGCCAACCUCACGUCGCUCUUCGCCGCCCAAGGCCUCUCCCAAAAGGACAUGGUCGCGCUCUCCGGUGCGUACUAUUAUUCUCAUAUGCACGUUCUACAAAUUAAAAAAACUACGUAUUCUUUAGUUAAUUUAAUUUCUCAUAUAUAUAUAUAUAUAUAUAUAUAUAUAUAUAUCGUUAUAUUACAAGGAGGCAGGCAUAUAUACAAGAAUAUAGCAACAGCUACCCUUUCCAGCUGAAAGAUGGAGCUUAAAUAAUGUACCUUUACCAAAGUGACCUUAAAUUUAUAAAGAUGGAAGCCUAAUAAUAAUUUGAUAGCUCCGUUUUGACGACGUGGAAGAACAAAUUUUACACGCACACUACACAAAUUAAAUGAUUAGUGUUUGCCCAUGUGUGUUCUUCGUAUCACUACUAGACAAAUAUGUUAUAAAUUGUCAUCACAUGAAAGUUGGGCCAAAACAGUUAUAUAUGCGCGCUGUUAAAAAAGUUAAAAAAGAUGACAUUACCUCAUAUUGUCGGCAGGGAUUUUCACUGGCGGUUUUAUUACGUCAUAUUGUCGGCAGGGAUUUCAUCAUAUCGAUUUUCACUGGCGGUUUUAUUACGUCGACCGCCAGUGAAAAUCGAUUUUCACUGGCGGUCUUCAGUUACCCGCCUGUAAAAAUGAUGAUUUUUACUGACCUCUAGCACUGACGGUUACGAUAAACGCCACUAAAAAUAGGUUUACGACCGUCAGUAUAGAUCUUCUCUGUACUAGUGACAGUUAUAUGCGCGCUGUUAAAAAAGUUAAAAGAGAUGACAUUACCUCAUAUUGUCGGCAGGGAUUUCUUGUCGAAAAUUCUUUGCCCAAAAGCUUCAACUUUAUUCUAAUUAAUCCUGCCUCUAAUAACAAGAUAGCAACUUUACUGAACUUUCGACGGCUGCAGUGUCUCUUCCACCUAAUAUCUUAAUUCGACGAAAUACUAAAGCACAUGCAGGUUAGGUACACACCAUACAUGUGUGGUUAGCUUAAUUCAUUCCAAGAAUCAGAUACCUUUAUUUAUAUUCUCUCUUUUUUUUUACAAAUUUAUUUAGACAGCGAAAAACAAGACGACGCUUCAAAAAAGUUCAUGUGCUAAUUUAAUUAAGCGGCAAAUAGUUUUUAGAUCAUGCAUGUUUCUCUCUUUUGUUUGUGUAACAAUAUGCAUGCCUCUUCUAUCAGGAGCUCACACCAUCGGCCAAGCACGCUGCACCAACUUCAGAGCCCACGUGUACAACGACACCAACAUCGACGGCAGCUUCGCAAGAACAAGGCAGUCAGGCUGCCCUAGAUCCUCAGGCUCAUCAGGCGACAACAACCUGGCGCCAUUGGACCUUCAAACCCCGACCGUCUUCGAGAACAACUACUACAAGAACCUUGUCUGCAAGAAGGGGCUCCUGCACUCCGACCAGGAGCUCUUCAAUGGCGGAGCCA